UACGGGGGGAGCAAGCGUUGUUCGGAUUUACUGGGCGUAAAGGGCGCGUAGGCGGUCGUGACAAGUCACUUGUGAAAUCUCCGGGCUUAACUCGGAACGGUCAAGUGAUACUGUCGGACUAGAGUACAGAAGGGGCAACUGGAAUUCUCGGUGUAGCGGUGAAAUGCGUAGAUAUCGAGAGGAACACCUGCGGCGAAGGCGGGUUGCUGGGCUGAUACUGACGCUGAGGCGCGAAAACGUGGGGAGCAAACAGG
This 254-nucleotide ribosomal RNA is filed under the name uncultured bacterium. RNAcentral describes it as "partial 16S ribosomal RNA". It matches the Rfam family "Bacterial small subunit ribosomal RNA", at positions 524 to 776 of the family's 1533-position model. The record is from RNAcentral.